GAUGAACGCUAGCUACAGGCUUAACACAUGCAAGUCGAGGGGCAGCAUGACGAGUGCUUGCACUUGUUGAUGGCGACCGGCGCACGGGUGCGUAACGCGUAUCCAACCUUCCCUAUAGUAGAGAAUAGCCCGGCGAAAGUCGAAUUAAUGCUCUAUGUUCUUCUUUGAUGGCAUCUGACGAGAAGCAAAGAUUUAUCGCUAUAGGAUGGGGAUGCGUCUGAUUAGGUUGUAGGCGGGGUAACGGCCCACCUAGCCGACGAUCAGUAGGGGUUCUGAGAGGAAGGUCCCCCACAUUGGUACUGAGACACGGACCAAACUCC
This 320-nucleotide ribosomal RNA is filed under the name uncultured Prevotella sp. Its description in RNAcentral is "bacterial SSU rRNA". It matches the Rfam family "Bacterial small subunit ribosomal RNA", at positions 28 to 339 of the family's 1533-position model. Lineage: Bacteria; Pseudomonadati; Bacteroidota; Bacteroidia; Bacteroidales; Prevotellaceae. The record is from RNAcentral.